This 420-nucleotide ribosomal RNA is filed under the name Fusobacteriota bacterium. Its description in RNAcentral is "Fusobacteria bacterium partial 16S ribosomal RNA". It matches the Rfam family "Bacterial small subunit ribosomal RNA", at positions 355 to 776 of the family's 1533-position model. Lineage: Bacteria; Fusobacteriati; Fusobacteriota. The record is from RNAcentral.
UGGGGGAUAUUGCACAAUGGGCGAAAGCCUGAUGCAGCGACGCCGCGUGGGGGAUGAAGGCCUUCGGGUUGUAAACUUCUUUUGCUCUGAACAAGGCAUGCCUUUGGGGUGUGUUGAGUGUAGGGGUUGAUUAGCGCCGGCUAACUACGUGCCAGCAGCCGCGGUAAUACGUAGGGCGCGAGCGUUGUCCGGAAUUAUUGGGCGUAAAGGGCUUGUAGGUGGCUGGUUGCGUCUGUCGUGAAAGCUCAUGGCUUAACUGUGGGUUUGCGGUGGGUACGGGCUGGCUUGAGUGCAGUAGGGGAGGCUGGAAUUCCUGGUGUAGCGGUGAAAUGCGCAGAUAUCAGGAAGAAUACCGGUGGCGAAGGCGGCUCUCUGGGCUGUUACUGACGCUGAGGAGCGAAAGCGUGGGGAGCGAACAGG